AAUCUGUGGUACGAACAUUUCUGAAUCAACAUUUUGAAACGUUCUCAUGCCUCAUAAAAACUUUCUCCUUUCAACUAUCUAAAGAUAAAAAUCUCUUUUCUUAGUUG
Molecule: non-coding RNA, 107 nt
Organism: Gossypium hirsutum (cotton)
Lineage: Eukaryota; Viridiplantae; Streptophyta; Magnoliopsida; Malvales; Malvaceae
Source: Rfam